AGCUUUGUGCAGCAGCAGUAUGGUAGCCAAUGAGGUUUAUCCAAGGUGCAAUUAUUGCUAAUUAAAAUACUAAGGUUUAAUAUUGUAGUUUUUGUAUAAUUUCUUAAAUUUUGUUUCCAAU
RNAcentral lists this small nuclear RNA (121 nucleotides) under Zalophus californianus (California sea lion). RNAcentral's name for it is "U4 spliceosomal RNA (ENSZCAG00015021682.1)". It matches the Rfam family "U4 spliceosomal RNA". Rfam says of the family: U4 small nuclear RNA (U4 snRNA) is a component of the major U2-dependent spliceosome. The structure of U4 snRNA from yeast and human has been reported. U4 snRNA presents a k-turn RNA motif in the 5p-SL related to recognition of Snu13 protein. The record is from RNAcentral. Lineage: Eukaryota; Metazoa; Chordata; Mammalia; Carnivora; Otariidae.